Long non-coding RNA from Alosa alosa (allis shad), 89 nucleotides. RefSeq lists it as uncharacterized. The transcript is spliced from 2 exons. Lineage: Eukaryota; Metazoa; Chordata; Actinopteri; Clupeiformes; Clupeidae. The record is from RefSeq and is a predicted model, not a curated record.
GCUAAAUGAACUGCUAGUUUGCACCCUUGGAAAGUGGAGCGAGUUUCACGGUGCUGGAAGAGCGACAAUAAAUGUCAUUGCACCCGUUU